UACGAAGGGGGCUAGCGUUGCUCGGAAUUACUGGGCGUAAAGGGCGCGUAGGCGGAUAUCUAAGUUGGGGGUGAAAUCCCGGGGCUCAACCUCGGAAUUGCCUUCAAAACUGGAUAUCUUGAGUUCGGGAGAGGUGAGUGGAACUCCGAGUGUAGAGGUGAAAUUCGUAGAUAUUCGGAAGAACACCAGUGGCGAAGGCGGCUCACUGGCCCGGUACUGACGCUGAGGUGCGAAAGCGUGGGGAGCAAACAGG
Molecule: ribosomal RNA, 253 nt
Filed under: uncultured bacterium
Lineage: Bacteria
Description: partial 16S ribosomal RNA
Rfam family: Bacterial small subunit ribosomal RNA
Source: RNAcentral